RNAcentral lists this transfer RNA (65 nucleotides) under Dudusa nobilis. RNAcentral describes it as "tRNA-Cys". Lineage: Eukaryota; Metazoa; Arthropoda; Insecta; Lepidoptera; Notodontidae. The record is from RNAcentral.
GGCCUUAUAGUCAAUAAAUGAUAUAAAAUUGCAAAUUUUAAGAAAUAUAAAAUAUAUUAAGGCUU